This 494-nucleotide ribosomal RNA is filed under the name uncultured bacterium. RNAcentral's name for it is "partial 16S ribosomal RNA". It matches the Rfam family "Bacterial small subunit ribosomal RNA", at positions 28 to 507 of the family's 1533-position model. The record is from RNAcentral.
GACGAACGCUGGCGGCGUGCUUAACACAUGCAAGUCGAACGGUGACGCGCCUUCCUUUUUGGUGGGUGUGGAUGAGUGGCGAACGGGUGAGUAACACGUGAGUAACCUGCCCCCUUCUUCUGGAUAACCGCAUGAAAGUGUGGCUAAUACGGGAUAUUCUGGGUCUGUCGCAUGAUGGGUCUGUGAAAGAUAUUGUUUCGGUGUGGGAUGGGCUCGCGGCCUAUAAGCUUGUUGGGGGGGUGAUGGCCUACCAAGGCGGCGACGGGUAGCCGGCCUGAGAGGGUGGACGGUCACACUGGGGAUGAGACACGGGGCCGACUCCUACGGGGGGCAGCAGAGGGGAAUAUAGCACAAUGGGGGCAAGACUGAUGCAGCGACGCCGCGUGAGGGAUGGAGGCCUUCGGGUUGUGAACCUCUUUCGCCAGUGAAGCAGGCCUGCCUGGUUUGUGGGUGGGUUGACGGUAGCUGGAGAAGAAGCGCCGGCUAACUACGUG